UACAGACUUCUGGCUACAUUUUAUAGUU
Molecule: non-coding RNA, 28 nt
Filed under: Mus musculus (house mouse)
Lineage: Eukaryota; Metazoa; Chordata; Mammalia; Rodentia; Muridae
Source: RNAcentral